GCAUUAAUCUGAAGAUACAUCAUAAUGGUCAUAUGAUGAAUGAUAAUUUCAAUACGUAACAGAUACCAAGUGUGUAGCGUCUCCAAUGCCUAUUUGAAAUAUUAGACUCCUUAUCACGCACCUUAAUGGGAGGCAAUGAUCAAGUUAUCUUAUAAAUUUAUCACUUUAUGGACCUAAUAAUUUAUAGAAUUUGAUUUUAUUGAUCUGAGAAUAAGAGAAGAAGUCGAUCUGCAAGCCGUUAAUCCUCCC
RNAcentral lists this long non-coding RNA (249 nucleotides) under Elaeis guineensis (African oil palm). RNAcentral's name for it is "long non-coding RNA (EGUI_LNC051879)". Lineage: Eukaryota; Viridiplantae; Streptophyta; Magnoliopsida; Arecales; Arecaceae. The record is from RNAcentral.